Molecule: ribosomal RNA, 1251 nt
Filed under: Klebsiella sp. E2A2
Lineage: Bacteria; Pseudomonadati; Pseudomonadota; Gammaproteobacteria; Enterobacterales; Enterobacteriaceae
Description: partial 16S ribosomal RNA
Rfam family: Bacterial small subunit ribosomal RNA
Source: RNAcentral
UCGGGUGACGANCGGCGGACGGGUGAGUAAUGUCUGGGAAACUGCCUGAUGGAGGGGGAUAACUACUGGAAACGGUAGCUAAUACCGCAUAACGUCGCAAGACCAAAGUGGGGGACCUUCGGGCCUCAUGCCAUCAGAUGUGCCCAGAUGGGAUUAGCUAGUAGGUGGGGUAACGGCUCACCUAGGCGACGAUCCCUAGCUGGUCUGAGAGGAUGACCAGCCACACUGGAACUGAGACACGGUCCAGACUCCUACGGGAGGCAGCAGUGGGGAAUAUUGCACAAUGGGCGCAAGCCUGAUGCAGCCAUGCCGCGUGUAUGAAGAAGGCCUUCGGGUUGUAAAGUACUUUCAGCGGGGAGGAAGGCGAUAAGGUUAAUAACCUUGUCGAUUGACGUUACCCGCAGAAGAAGCACCGGCUAACUCCGUGCCAGCAGCCGCGGUAAUACGGAGGGUGCAAGCGUUAAUCGGAAUUACUGGGCGUAAAGCGCACGCAGGCGGUCUGUCAAGUCGGAUGUGAAAUCCCCGGGCUCAACCUGGGAACUGCAUUCGAAACUGGCAGGCUAGAGUCUUGUAGAGGGGGGUAGAAUUCCAGGUGUAGCGGUGAAAUGCGUAGAGAUCUGGAGGAUACGUGGCGAAGCUGCCCCUGGAGGUUGUGCCCCUGAGGCGUGGCUUCCGGAGCUAACGCGUUAAAUCGACCGCCUGGGGAGUACGGCCGCAAGGUUAAAACUCAAAUGAAUUGACGGGGGCCCGCACAAGCGGUGGAGCAUGUGGUUUAAUUCGAUGCAACGCGAAGAACCUUACCUGGUCUUGACAUCCACAGAACUUAGCAGAGAUGCUUUGGUGCCUUCGGGAACUGUGAGACAGGUGCUGCAUGGCUGUCGUCAGCUCGUGUUGUGAAAUGUUGGGUUAAGUCCCGCAACGAGCGCAACCCUUAUCCUUUGUUGCCAGCGGUCCGGCCGGGAACUCAAAGGAGACUGCCAGUGAUAAACUGGAGGAAGGUGGGGAUGACGUCAAGUCAUCAUGGCCCUUACGACCAGGGCUACACACGUGCUACAAUGGCAUAUACAAAGAGAAGCGACCUCGCGAGAGCAAGCGGACCUCAUAAAGUNUGUCGUAGUCCGGAUUGGAGUCUGCAACUCGACUCCAUGAAGUCGGAAUCGCUAGUAAUCGUAGAUCAGAAUGCUACGGUGAAUACGUUCCCGGGCCUUGUACACACCGCCGUCACACCAUGGGAGUGGGUUGCAAAAGAAC